RNAcentral lists this small nucleolar RNA (83 nucleotides) under Kryptolebias marmoratus (mangrove rivulus). Its description in RNAcentral is "Small nucleolar RNA SNORD87 (ENSKMAG00000008105.1)". Lineage: Eukaryota; Metazoa; Chordata; Actinopteri; Cyprinodontiformes; Rivulidae. The record is from RNAcentral.
GUUGGAAAAAUGAUGAAUUCACAUUUUUGCCGUUUACCCGUCAGACUGUGAAGUGGUGAAACUGUGACUACUGAAUUACCAGC